GACAAUAAAUCUCAAUACGAAGCCUUUUGGUUUUGUAAUUGAAUUGAGAACAAUGUACAAUCGUUAUCGAUAAACAAUUGGAGGGCAAGUCUGGUGCCAGCAGCCGCGGUAAUUCCAGCUCCAAUAGCGUAUAUUAACGUUGUUGCAGUUAAAAAGCUCGUAGUUGAAGUUGAGAGUUCGGAGGGGUGUUUGGGGUAAGUCUUUAGUGAACUGCCCCCUUCUCUCUGGCUCGAGUUCCAGUUGUUGAGAUUGAUUUUUUUUUCUCUACCGGGAUUUUAAAGGGUCAAUCAUUAAUCAGCGACUGGUCAUUUACUGUGAGAAAAUUAGAGUGUUUAAAGCAGACUUUAUUAAUUGAGUUUGAAUAGAUUAGCAUGGAAUAAUAAGAUUGGCUUUCAUAGUCGAUUUUUUGGUUUGUUUAUGAAAGCAAGAUUAAUAGGGACAGUUGGGGGUAUUCAUAUUCAAUAGCUAGAGGUGAAAUUCUAUGAUUUAUGGAAGAUGAACAAGUGCGAAAGCAA
Molecule: ribosomal RNA, 515 nt
Filed under: Blastocystis sp.
Lineage: Eukaryota; Bigyra; Opalinata; Blastocystidae
Description: SSU rRNA
Rfam family: Eukaryotic small subunit ribosomal RNA
Source: RNAcentral